CGGCCAUCCAAAGCCGUUAUCUCUCAGGCGGUAAGGAUAGGCUCUAUUCUGGAUACGCAGGACGGCUGCACGGCCGCAAUUAUCCGCCAUCUUGGCUGUCUCAUUGGCUGUCCAGAGGUCACGUGCUUUGAAAUUUGUGCCGGGAAACGGAAGUUUUGCAAAAUGCAAUUUUGCUAUUUCGUCAGAAUGACGAAACGUGACGUGGAGCUGCAAAUUUUAUCGACUAAUAGUCUUUGUGGUCCUUGGCACUUAUCUUGCAACUUUAGCGCUUUAAAAGAAAGUGGACAGUAGCGUGCCGAAACCCGUGCAAUGCAUCUGCAAUUUCGCGAAUAUGUGGUUGCGUUCCAAGAUAGCCGGAAUGUCAGUUGUUGUUUGGCUGAAAGAAUAUGCCGUGAAGAGCCUCACAGGAAGGGCCGUUUCGUAAACGUCAUUUUGACGUUCCGUGACGUUGCGCUGGGCCGCCAUUGCGCCGAUUUUCUGCCAUAAUUUCUGGUGCGACGAGCCGUGCGAAUUAUGGUAAUGAGCGGCCCUAUGCAAUGUCAGUCGAGAGGCAUGCAUAUCGCCGCAUUUUCGCUGUCAUUUGGGGCCAUGAAAAUCUUUCGUUCACAACGCGUGCUCAUAGUAUUUGCAUCGCUCUCGGGUGGUGUUGGCAUUUGUGUUUUGAACCAUCAUUUCUAUUAAAAACACGUUUAUUUGACAUAAUAUUGGUUUAAACUAGCAAACUUCUUGCGACUUUUAGCACUUUUCGCUACUGCGUUUCUAUUGUAAUCAAUAUUAAUGUCUUUUCGCGUCAUCAAAGGCUAUGACAAUGGCGACUUUUUAAUUUAUAAAAGUAAAUGCACGCAAGGCGGCGUCUUGAAGUCUGCUCUCGCGGUGUGAGUAAGCAGCGAAGUGAACAAGAGUACGUGGCCAAUAGCUUGCGAUAGCCUAUCGAUAGCCAAUCAAUAACUAAUGUAUAAUCGAUCAAUAAUAAAAUAAUUCUGGAAAAUGCUGGGGUUGAGUUAGCCUAGCCCAAAAAGCCAGGACUAGUGAGGUGCCCAUGGGCUCCCCUGUCUCUUUAGCAUUGCGCCUCCAGUGCAAGCUACGCUAAUUUUUUAUAUGGUGAUCAUCUCUGCGAUAAUUUUGCGAUACGAAAUACAAUAGUCAGCCAAUAGACGGAUCGUUCCAUGUAAUCGGGAAGGAAAAUAUUUUAUUGUAUUAAAAAUAAAACUGGGCCCAGAGCACAGCCUUGGCGAACUCCCGAUGUAACAGUUCCUAAAUUGGAAGCUUCAUUUUGAAUAUACUCGAAUUGUGAGCGAUAUAGGUCGGCACAUUCACUGAUGAGUGCACUCACUCACACUCACCCGCAUUUAUUUCAAAGGCGUGAUUGCGCGUGCGAGUGAGUGCCAGUGAGUGUGAGUGGAGGUGUGUGCGAGUGAGUGCCAGUGAGUGUGAGUGGAAAUGAGUGCCAGUGAGUGUGAGUGAAGGUGAGUGCCAGUGAGUGUGUGUGGAGGUGAGUGCGAGUGGAAGUGAGUGCGAGUACGGUGAGUGCCAGUGAGUGGGAAUGCGAGUGAGUGCUAAUGAGUGUGACUGGAAGUGAGUUGGAGUACGAGUGAGUGCCAGUGAGUGCGAGAGCCAGUGAGUGUGAGUAGGAGUGAGGGUCAGUGAGUGUGAGUGGCAUUGAGUGCCAGUGAGUGUAAGGGAAAAAGAGUGCGUGUGUGACAGUGAGUGAGUGGAGGUGAGUGUGAGAGAGUGCCAGUGAGUAUGGAUGGAAGUGAGUGCGAAUGAGCGUGAAUGGAGGUGAGUGCGAGUGCGAGUGAGUGUCAGUGAGUGUGAGUGGAGGUGAGCGUGAACGUGAGUGAGUGCUGCGAGUGUGAGUGGAGGUGAGUGUGAACGUGAGUGAGUGCUUGUGAGUUUUAGCGGAGGUGAGCGUGAACGUCAGUGAGUGCGGGGCCCGGAAGAAAUUAUGGUGAGGGUGAGUUGUAUCCACACUGCCGACCUAUGUAUAUAUCUGCGUGUGUCUGUGUUUGUGUGCGUAAGCGUGUUUAUGUCCUCAGGGGCGCUUGUUAUUUAAAAAGACCACGGUAGAAAAGGAUGUCACCAAAUGAAUGUUGAACAUUUAUUUGAAUAAUUGUUAAGGACGUGGAACUUCCUACCACAUGGACAUUUGCUGGUUCUUGGAAUCAAUGACUAUUAUUUUCUUUUUGGCAGUUGUUUAAACAGAACACCUUAACUAAUAUAAAUCCUUGUUUUACCUUUAGGGAACAAAGCUGGCUCCACCACCCGACACGUGGUGCAUUAUCAUCUGCUUGUGGGAACAAAAGACCCUGAAGAGGCUGUGAAGGAUUGUAAAACAGAAUAUGAAACAUACGCACCAUACGGAAAACAGCUUUAUCCGUAUAAUUGCAGGCUGUACACCCAAUAGCUGCUGUGUAGAAUAGUAUAGAAUAGCAACUUUUUUGCGCUAAUAAAAAGGCAUAAAAAAGA
Molecule: long non-coding RNA, 2466 nt
Organism: Dermacentor silvarum
Lineage: Eukaryota; Metazoa; Arthropoda; Arachnida; Ixodida; Ixodidae
Exons: 2
Source: RefSeq, a predicted model, not a curated record